CAGCAAUCCUUCAGAAUUUAAGCUCCCUGCACAUGAUUCUCGAAUUGCAUGUCGAGAUUCUCGAACUUGUCAUCUGGAUGGCGUUCUAGCACCUACAUAAACUGCAGAUGCUCCUGCUAUUCUUUGCUGAAUCCUGUGAAGGGGAGGUGCCGAUUUAGGAAGGAUGUUCAAGUGAUGAAGCCUCUUUGAUCAUGUCUUCACAUACAAAGAUCCAAGUAAAUUUACUGUACUAUAGUGGUCCAAUUUUAGAAUCAUGUAUUAGGGUUCACAUCACUAGCGAAUUUAGUUAUGCUUUGUUGCAAUCAUUUCCUUCAUUUCAGUUUCAAGUGUAACCCUACAACUGCACGACCUACAACAAGCCUCAAGCCCGUUAUGACUCAACAGUCUUAGGAUAGUGUUUUGAUAAACCUCAAGACCGCCCACCUUCGAAUACGGACGUGUCUGCCAGAAAUGAUUAAGAAGUGCACAGCAUCCUCUAAUCGAACGAACCAGGACAACAAUUUCAAUCUCAGUCAACUCAGAUUCGCGGCAUGGGAAGUAGUUGACGAGUUGCAGUCGAAGGCAAAUAAUAAUCAGCCAGAAUCAGGAACAUCUCGAAUGAUCGCCGUAAAACCCCCUCGCUUGUAGUAAAGUAGUCU
RNAcentral lists this long non-coding RNA (638 nucleotides) under Physcomitrium patens. RNAcentral describes it as "long non-coding RNA (PPAT_LNC001948)". Lineage: Eukaryota; Viridiplantae; Streptophyta; Bryopsida; Funariales; Funariaceae. The record is from RNAcentral.